AGAGAGAGACAUGCGCGCAUAUCAAUAAGCGGAGGAAAAGAAACUAACAAGGAUUCCCUUAGUAACGGCGAGUGAAGCGGGAAGAGCUCAAAUUUGAAAUCUUCAAGGUUUUACCUUGACGAAUUGUAGUUUAAAGAAGUGUUUUCUGUUGAAGUUUUGGUAAAAGUUCUUUGGAAUAGGACAUCAUAGAGGGUGAGAAUCCCGUAUUUGACCAUUAUUUUCAGCUUUGUGAUACACUUUCAAAGAGUCGGAUUGUUUGGGAAUGCAGUCCAAAAUGGGUGGUAAAUUUCAUCUAAAGCUAAAUAUUGGCGAGAGACCGAUAGCGAACAAGUACCGUGAGGGAAAGAUGAAAAGAACUUUGAAAAGAGAGUUAAACAGUACGUGAAAUUGUCAAAAGGGAAGCGUUUGACACCAGUGUUGUUUUCUCGAAAAUCAAUUAAAAAUGGCUCGAUUUUGUAUUGUUGAGACCUUAAAAGCUCACUGUACAUUUUUCGUGUCUUUUUUAAUGCACUUUUCGUUUAACAAGUCAACAUCAGUUUCUUUUGUUGUAAAAGGGUCAUUGGAAGGUGGCUUUCUUUUCGGAGAAAGUGUUUAUAGCCUUUGGCCUCUGCAAUCGGAAGAGACUGAGGUCUGCAGCGUAGACUCUUCGGGGUUAGAUACAUUUGUGCUAAGUUAUAGCUUUUUAUAGACAACUUGUUGACUAUAAUUAGUCUUGUAGCUUACUCGCUUAUGCUAUUUUACCUACGCUUAGGAUGUUGAAGAUGUAGCACAUCAU
This 775-nucleotide ribosomal RNA is filed under the name uncultured Neocallimastigales. RNAcentral describes it as "partial large subunit ribosomal RNA". It matches the Rfam family "Eukaryotic large subunit ribosomal RNA", at positions 23 to 634 of the family's 3401-position model. Lineage: Eukaryota; Fungi; Neocallimastigomycota; Neocallimastigomycetes; Neocallimastigales. The record is from RNAcentral.